RNAcentral lists this ribosomal RNA (1203 nucleotides) under human gut metagenome. RNAcentral's name for it is "bacterial LSU rRNA". It matches the Rfam family "Bacterial large subunit ribosomal RNA", at positions 1735 to 2925 of the family's 2925-position model. The record is from RNAcentral.
AUCAAGCUUAACGAUACCGUCGCUUGCCCGUGGAGCUUUUGGGGGUGGCACAGACCAGGGGGUAGCGACUGUUUACCAAAAACACAGGUGCAUGCGAAGGCGCAAGCCGCUGUAUAUGCACUGACGCCUGCCCGGUGCCGGAAGGUUAAGAGGAUCCGUCAGCCCCUUUUGGGGUGAAGCGGUGAAUUCAAGCCCCGGUAAACGGCGGUGGUAACUAUAACCAUCCUAAGGUAGCGAAAUUCCUUGUCGGGUAAGUUCCGACCUGCACGAAUGGCGUAACGACUUCCCCACUGUCUCGACCAGGAGCUCGGCGAAAUUGCAGUACGAGUAAAGAUGCUCGUUAAGCGCAGAAGGACGAAAAGACCCCGGGACCUUUACUAUACCUUGGUAUUGGCAUUCGGUGUGGAUUGUGUAGCAUAGGCGGAAGGCUUCGAAGCCACGGCGCCAGCCGCGGUGGAGCCGCAAGGUGAAAUACCGCUCUGUUCGCAUUGGAUGUCUAACCUCGACCAGUCAUCCUGGUCAGGGACAGUGCCUGGCGGGUAGUUUAACUGGGGCGGUUGCCUCCCAAAGAGUAACGGAGGCGCCCAAAGGUCCGCUCAGCCCGGUUGGCAAUCGGGUUUCGAGUGUAAUCGCACAAGCGGGCUUGACUGCGAGAACGACGGUUCGGGCAGGGACGAAAGUCGGAGAUAGUGAUCCGGUGCCGGCGCACGGGCGCGGCAUCGCUCAACGGAUAAAAGGUACCCCGGGGAUAACAGGCUGAUCAUUCCCAAGAGUCCAUAUCGACGGGAUGGUUUGGCACCUCGAUGUCGGCUCGUCGCAUCCUGGGGCUGGAGCAGGUCCCAAGGGUUCGGCUGUUCGCCGAUUAAAGCGGCACGCGAGCUGGGUUCAGAACGUCGUGAGACAGUUUGGUCUCUAUCCUCUGCGCUCGUUGGAAUCUUGAGGAGGCCUGCCCAUAGUACGAGAGGACCUGGGUGGACGAACCUCUGGUAUGCCGGUUGUCACGCCAGUGGCACGGCCGGUUGGCUACGUUCGGAAGGGAUAACCGCUGAAAGCAUCUAAGCGGGAAGCCUGCUCCAAGAUAAGCAUUCCAUAGGACUACGGGUCCUUGAAGUCCCCAUGCAGAACACGUGGUUGAUAGGCCGGACGUGGAAGCCCCGCGAGGGGUGGAGCCGACCGGUACUAACGGACGAAAGGCAACACAAC